GACGAACGCUGGCGGCGUGCCUAACACAUGCAAGUCGAACGGACUGAGGGCCUUCGGGCCUAAAGUUAGUGGCGAACGGGUGAGUAACGCGUGGGUAACCUGCCCUUGUAACGGGGAUAACUUGCUGAAAGGUGAGCUAAUACCGGAUUCUCUAUUGAGAUUGCAUGAUCUUAAUAGAAAAGGUGGCCUCUGAAUAUGCUACCGUAUAAGGAUGGACCCGCGUCUGAUUAGCUAGUUGGUGAGGUAACGGCCCACCAAGGCGACGAUCAGUAGCCGGCCUGAGAGGGUGAACGGCCACACUGGGACUGAGACACGGCCCAGACUCCUACGGGAGGCAGCAGUGGGGAAUCUUCCGCAAUGGACGAAAGUCUGACGGAGCAACGCCGCGUGAGUGAAGAAGGUCUUCGGAUUGUAAAACUCUGUUUUUUGGGAAGAACGGCUCAUAUGUGGAUAAUGUAUGGGAUUGACGGUACCAAAGGAGGAAGCCCCGGCUAACUACGUG
This 502-nucleotide ribosomal RNA is filed under the name uncultured bacterium. RNAcentral's name for it is "bacterial SSU rRNA". It matches the Rfam family "Bacterial small subunit ribosomal RNA", at positions 28 to 507 of the family's 1533-position model. The record is from RNAcentral.